This 497-nucleotide ribosomal RNA is filed under the name uncultured bacterium. Its description in RNAcentral is "partial 16S ribosomal RNA". It matches the Rfam family "Bacterial small subunit ribosomal RNA", at positions 28 to 507 of the family's 1533-position model. The record is from RNAcentral.
GAUGAACGCUGGCGGCGUGCCUAAUGCAUGCAAGUCGAGCGAACAGACGAGGAGCUUGCUCCUCUGACGUUAGCGGCGGACGGGUGAGUAACACGUGGAUAACCUACCUAUAAGACUGGGAUAACUUCGGGAAACCGGAGCUAAUACCGGAUAAUAUAUUGAACCGCAUGGUUCAAUAGUGAAAGACGGUUUUGCUGUCACUUAUAGAUGGAUCCGCGCCGCAUUAGCUAGUUGGUAAGGUAACGGCUUACCAAGGCAACGAUGCGUAGCCGACCUGAGAGGGUGGUCGGCCACACUGGAACUGAGACACGGUCCAGACUCCUACGGGAGGCAGCAGUAGGGAAUCGUCCGCAAAGGGCGAAAGCCUGACGGAGCAACGCCGCGUGAGUGAUGAAGGUCUUCGGAUCGUAAAACUCUGUUAUUAGGGAAGAACAAAUGUGUAAGUAACUAUGCACGUCUUGACGGUACCUAAUCAGAAAGCCACGGCUAACUACGUG